GCUGGGCGUGGUGGCGGGCACCUGUAAUCCCAGCUACUUGGGAGGCUGAGGCAGGGGAAUCGCUUGAACCAGGGAGUCGGAGGUUGCAGUGAGCCACGAUGGCAGCACUGCACUCCAGCCCGGGUGACAGAGCGAGACUCCGUCUCAA
RNAcentral lists this non-coding RNA (148 nucleotides) under Homo sapiens (human). Lineage: Eukaryota; Metazoa; Chordata; Mammalia; Primates; Hominidae. The record is from Rfam by way of RNAcentral.